GUGGGGAAUUUUGGACAAUGGGCGAAAGCCUGAUCCAGCCAUGCCGCGUGCAGGAUGAAGGCCUUCGGGUUGUAAACUGCUUUUGUACGGAACGAAAAGACUCUGGUUAAUACCUGGGGUCCAUGACGGUACCGUAAGAAUAAGCACCGGCUAACUACGUACCAGCAGCCGCGGUAAUACGUAGGGUGCAAGCGUUAAUCGGAAUUACUGGGCGUAAAGCGUGCGCAGGCGGUUAUAUAAGACAGAUGUGAAAUCCCCGGGCUCAACCUGGGAACUGCAUUUGUGACUGUAUAGCUAGAGUACGGCAGAGGGGGAUGGAAUUCCGCGUGUAGCAGUGAAAUGCGUAGAUAUGCGGAGGAACACCGAUGGCGAAGGCAAUCCCCUGGGCCUGUACUGACGCUCAUGCACGAAAGCGUGGGGAGCAAACAGGAUUAGAAACCCGGGUAGUCC
RNAcentral lists this ribosomal RNA (450 nucleotides) under uncultured bacterium. RNAcentral describes it as "bacterial SSU rRNA". It matches the Rfam family "Bacterial small subunit ribosomal RNA", at positions 354 to 796 of the family's 1533-position model. The record is from RNAcentral.